UCCCAAGGGUUGGGCUGUUCGCCCAUUAAAGCGGUACGCGAGCUGGGUUCAGAACGUCGUGAGACAGUUCGGUCCCUAUCCGUCGUGGGCGUAGGAAAUUUGAGAGGAGCUGUCCUUAGUACGAGAGGACCGGGAUGGACAUACCUCUGGUGUACCAGUUGUCGUGCCAACGGCAUAGCUGGGUAGCUAUGUGUGGACGGGAUAAGUGCUGAAAGCAUCUAAGCAUGAAGCCCCCCUCAAGAUGAGAUUUCCCAACUUCGGUUAUAAGAUCCCUCAAAGAUGAUGAGGUUAAUAGGUUCGAGGUGGAAGCAUGGUGACAUGUGGAGCUGACGAAUACUAA
RNAcentral lists this ribosomal RNA (340 nucleotides) under Staphylococcus aureus. RNAcentral's name for it is "partial 23S ribosomal RNA". It matches the Rfam family "Bacterial large subunit ribosomal RNA", at positions 2563 to 2904 of the family's 2925-position model. The record is from RNAcentral. Lineage: Bacteria; Bacillati; Bacillota; Bacilli; Caryophanales; Staphylococcaceae.